CCGAGUUUACAACUCCCAAACCCCUGUGAACCAUACCCUAUACGUUGCCUCGGCGGAUCAGCCGCGCCCUGUAACGGGGGACCGCCAGAGGACCCAUAACUCUUGCAUUUCUUAGUUGUAACUCUGAGUUUGCUAAAACAAAUAAAUCA
Molecule: unclassified non-coding RNA, 149 nt
Filed under: soil metagenome
Description: partial internal transcribed spacer 1
Source: RNAcentral